This is an RNA transcript of Lepisosteus oculatus (spotted gar), 2071 nucleotides long. It is a transcript of the gene named glutaminyl-peptide cyclotransferase-like a, with no coding region annotated. The record is from RefSeq and is a predicted model, not a curated record. NCBI's taxonomy places the organism in Eukaryota, Metazoa, Chordata, Actinopteri, Semionotiformes, Lepisosteidae.
GUCGCGGCGAGCGCUGCGUGUAUGGAGACCGGACCGGCGCCCUGCGCAGGAUGGGUACAGCGGUUGCAGCCGGCGUGGCUCUGGGGUCUGGUAUCGGAACCCAGAACGCUUCCUCGGCACCGGCCGGCACCGUCCAGGGCCGUGACUGACCCGAGUGGACGGUACCGGUCCGGUAAAGUAGCUGAGCCGGUUUGAGACCGGCGCUGAUGAACGAGCGGUGAAACGCGAGGCGCCGUGUGAGGAUCUCGGCUAAUUCUUAUCUAAAUCUCUAAAUAUAUCUCUAAAUAAUAUCUAAAACCGGCCCAGCUGUGGAUCACUGCCGCAGCCAGGCCUGUCCCGGCAGCGUGAGGCGGCUUGAGUCAUUUCAGUACAGAAACUCAUCUUGCUUCAGUACAGAAACUUCACGGGGGUGCGUGUAUCCAGAUGCUCUCUGGUCCUGGAAAUUCGCACCUGCUCGAACAUCGACGUUUUAGUUCUGAAACAUCCGAAGCGAAACCGUGAAGCGCAAAGCAGCCCCCAGUGGGAGCGCCGUGCGCUCUGCUGGUAUUGAUUAACUAGACCCGGCGGCGCUGUGGGUCGUGUCGCUCGGACACAGGGCAGCUCGCCAGAGCGACGUGGCGCUGCGGACGCAGGCGGACGGGCUCGGUGGGAGAUGUCGAGGGGUGGCCGGAGGUACAGAGCCGCGCCGGUGAGCGGCGGCUCGCUGUCACGCUGGGAGCCGGGGAGGCUGCCCCGGGCCCGGGCGCUGCUGUGCGGGCUGUGCGGGCUGCUCGCCGUAGCCGGGCUCCUCGGGGUGUACCUGUCCAGCGACACGCCCGGAGACCUGCGGGUCGGCUCCGCGGACUGGACCACAGACCGACUGGCACACAAGCCCCGCAAGCUGACAGCCGGACAGCUGCGCAGCCUGACGGCCCGGGUGGACCGCCGGCGGCAGUGGGACGCGCUCCUCCGCCCGAUCCUGACCGAGAGGCGCCCGGGCACCGCCGGAAGCCAGGCUGUGCGCCAGCACAUCUCCUCCGUGCUGGGCUCUCUGUCCGCAGGCUGGACAGUGGAGGUGGACUCGUUCACUGCGCCCACCCCCCUGGGCCAGCUCACCUUCUCCAACGUCCUGGCGGUGCUGGACCCAGCGGCUCCACGGCGCCUCCUGCUGGCCUGCCACUACGACUCCAAGCUGCUGCCCGCGGACUCGCGGGGCCGGGUGUUCGUGGGGGCCAGCGACUCGGCCGUGCCCUGCGCCAUGCUGCUGGAGCUGGCCAGUGCGCUGGACGCCCAGCUCCGGGCCCUCCGACAGCAGAGGCCUGCGCUCACCCUGCAGCUCGUCUUCUUCGACGGCGAGGAGGCCUUCCAGGAGUGGACCCCCACCGACUCCCUGUACGGCUCGCGGCACCUGGCGGAGCGCAUGGCCGCGACGGCCCACCCCCCUGGCUCUGCUGGCACCAGCCAGCUGGACGCCAUCGACCUGUUUGUCCUCCUGGACCUGAUCGGUGCCCCCGAUCCCCUGUUCGUCAACCACUUCGACAACACGGCCCGCUGGUUCGACCGCCUCAUCGCUGCCGAGAAGCGCCUGCACAAGCUGGGCCUGCUGGCGUCCCACCCCUUGGAGCAGAGCUACUUCAGGAAGGACGUGUACCUGGGGCCGGUAGAGGACGACCACGUGCCCUUCCUCAGGAGAGGCGUGCCCGUCCUCCACAUGGUGGCCACACCCUUCCCCUCCUUCUGGCACACCCUGGAGGACAGCGAGGAGCAGAUGCACCCCCCUACAGUGGACAACCUCACCAAGAUCCUGGCCGUCUUCCUGGCCGAGUACCUGGGCCUGUGACCCUGGACCGACCCGACAGAGCUCCACCCUUACCACCGCUGUGGAGAAUCGUGCCCGGCCAGCCUGGAAUAAGCCUUUACGUGUUCCUCUGCAGCCUGCGCCUGCUGACGCAGCUCCCUGCUUGAACUACGUGUAAACCAGUUGUGAUUUGCCCUUGACAGAAGACAUGCGUCUAACACCCUCUUCAGCCUGGAAGCGCUGUCGAGCUGCUGCAGCUCUCUGGAGGGGCCCAGGGCUGCAGGCAGGAAGACU